Molecule: microRNA, 21 nt
Filed under: Hordeum vulgare
Lineage: Eukaryota; Viridiplantae; Streptophyta; Magnoliopsida; Poales; Poaceae
Description: hvu-miR1130
Source: miRBase by way of RNAcentral
UCUGUAACUUAAUAUAAGACG